AAAGACCGCCGAGUGCUGAAAUGACCAUAAAACCCCUGAAGAGCUCACUCUCCGAGACUGACAAGCAGACCUACGCUACUAUUUUCUCUGCACAAACUCUGCAACAAAGCAUCAGAAAAUUUCUGACUCAGAAUUUAGCUGUGUCCUCUCCUCUCUGUCCACGUCGGCUCCUCGCUCACAAGCAAUGGCAUGCCUAGACCUAACCGCCCCUCACAUUUAUUACAUUUACUACUCUGCCACUUACCGCGCCUCUAUCUUCUUCCCCUACCUAUGCUGCUCCACGACAACGGAGCUCAACCACCAAGACCUCUGUUUUAGGGUUAGGGUUUUAUUUAAUCUGCUCCGCUUUCUACGCUACCCCUUUGAAAAAUAUCGUCAAGUUCCAAGAGGUUUUUGAUUAUUUCUAUUUCGAAAGGUUUGGGCUUUUUUUCUCAUCUUUGUCGUUUCGCUUUGUUUUUUUUCUGCGUUUGAAUAUUUUUAUUGUUUAUUUUGGAACUGUAGAUGCGUUCUUUGACUCUCUCUCUCUCUCUGUAGACUGUGUGGUGUUGAGCUGGAUGAUGGUGGUUUUUAGUUGACUAAAUGGGAAUGGGCUUGCAGCUUUUGGUGGAAUGUAUUAGUCAGCAAUGCUUGUUUACUGCAUGUGGGUG
Molecule: long non-coding RNA, 647 nt
Filed under: Prunus dulcis (almond)
Lineage: Eukaryota; Viridiplantae; Streptophyta; Magnoliopsida; Rosales; Rosaceae
Description: sRNA ncRNA
Source: RNAcentral